CCUACGGGUGGCAGCAGUGAGGAAUAUUGGUCAAUGGACGAGAGUCUGAACCAGCCAAGUAGCGUGAAGGAUGACUGCCCUAUGGAUUGUAAACUUCUUUUAUAAAGGAAUAAAACGAGGCACGUGUGCCUGUUUGCAUGUACUUUAUGAAUAAGCAUCGGCUAACUCCGUGCCAGCAGCCGCGGUAAUACGGAGGAUCCGAGCGUUAUCCGGAUUUAUUGGGUUUAAAGGGAGCGUAGAUGGGUUGUUAAGUCAGUUGUGAAAGUUUGCGGCUCAACCGUAAAACUGCAGUUGAUACUGGCAGUCUUGAGUAGAGUAGAGGUAGGCGGAAUGCGUGGUGUAGCGGUGAAAUGCAUAGAUAUCGCGAAGAACCCCGAUUGCGAAGGCAGCUUACUAAACUGAGACUGACAUUGAUGCUCGAAAGUGUGGGUAUCAAACAGGAUUAGAUACCCGUGUAGUC
Molecule: ribosomal RNA, 460 nt
Filed under: uncultured bacterium
Lineage: Bacteria
Description: partial 16S ribosomal RNA
Rfam family: Bacterial small subunit ribosomal RNA
Source: RNAcentral